Molecule: ribosomal RNA, 394 nt
Filed under: uncultured bacterium
Lineage: Bacteria
Description: bacterial SSU rRNA
Rfam family: Bacterial small subunit ribosomal RNA
Source: RNAcentral
AUUGAACGCUGGCGGCAUGCCUUACACAUGCAAGUCGAACGGCAGCACGGGAGCAAUCCUGGUGGCGAGUGGCGAACGGGUGAGUAAUAUAUCGGAACGUGCCCAGUCGUGGGGAUAACGUAGCGAAAGCUACGCUAAUACCGCAUACGAUCUACGGAUGAAAGCGGGGGAUCGCAAGACCUCGCGCGAUUGGAGCGGCCGAUAUCAGAUUAGGUAGUUGGUGAGGUAAAGGCUCACCAAGCCGACGAUCUGUAGCUGGUCUGAGAGGACGACCAGCCACACUGGGACUGAGACACGGCCCAGACUCCUACGGGAGGCAGCAGUGGGGAAUUUUGGACAAUGGGCGCAAGCCUGAUCCAGCAAUGCCGCGUGCAGGAUGAAGGCCUUCGGUUGG